Molecule: ribosomal RNA, 133 nt
Filed under: Phoenicopterus ruber (American flamingo)
Lineage: Eukaryota; Metazoa; Chordata; Aves; Phoenicopteriformes; Phoenicopteridae
Description: partial 16S ribosomal RNA
Source: RNAcentral
UAUGACCAACUCCCCCUAGUACGAAAGGACCGGGGAAGUGAGGCCAAUGCUACAAGCAUGCCUCCCCUCUAAGUAAUGAACCCAACUAAAUUACCAAAAGGUCACCCACAUUACCUCGUCCUAGAAAAGGACC